Dermacentor andersoni is the source of this 419-nucleotide long non-coding RNA. RefSeq lists it as uncharacterized. Lineage: Eukaryota; Metazoa; Arthropoda; Arachnida; Ixodida; Ixodidae. The record is from RefSeq and is a predicted model, not a curated record.
AUUAAUAUAGGCGAAACAACAACCAGAAAAAAAGUCGGCGCUCGUGGCCACCGUCUUCGAUGUGGGAUGAACUCGGAUACACAGAAGCGCGGAUCUUACAAUGUGCAAGCAUCUCCAAGUAAUGGUGAAGUGGCUAUGGGAAAUGGUAGCAGUUUCAACGAAACCACCGCGUUAUCGUGGUCCUCGGGGGCUUGAUCAGCCCGCCGUCAUCCAAGCACUGACCAACCUGCCUACCGACGUCAGCUCCCUGCCCUGAAACCCCUGGCCAGCCUACCGUCCUCGGCACCUUGCCCAAUUCCUGUCCUGAGGGCAGUGCCUGUAAAUAAACUGUUUGAAGAUAACCGAGCGUCAUCCAUCCAGGUCCACGAAAAUGCCUGUUCGUGAACAUUUAUUCGCAAAUAAACUGUCAUAAAAGUCAA